This 315-nucleotide long non-coding RNA is filed under the name Bos taurus (domestic cattle). Its description in RNAcentral is "long non-coding RNA NONBTAT011531". Lineage: Eukaryota; Metazoa; Chordata; Mammalia; Artiodactyla; Bovidae. The record is from RNAcentral.
GUUAAAAAUGAGUGAGUAUCGGGCAUCUGCAGUUGUAACAAGCAUUCUAGAUGGAAGUGGUUUGUGGACCAAACUAAGAGAAACAGAGACGAGAUAACACAGAGAUAGCAAGGAGUCCAAAUACCUUAAGAUUUAUAGGCUGUGGGUUGCCUCUUUGUUGAGGUCAUUUCUUUCUCCCUUUCUUCCUUUCUCCCUCUUCCCCUCUGCGCUCACCAUUUCACAAAGUCUUUUAAACUAAAUAUAUAUAGCUGAACUCUUGUGAGCCAGACCUGGGGGCUAUUUUUCAGUUAUGUGUGUAAUUCUUUUGUGGAAAUA